AGAGUUUGAUCCUGGCUCAGAACGAACGUUAGCGGCGCGCUUAACACAUGCAAGUCGAACGAGAAAGGGCUUCGGCCCCGGUAAAGUGGCGCACGGGUGAGUAACACGUGGGUAAUCUUCCCUUGAGCGGGGGAUAACAUUCCGAAAGGAGUGCUAAUACCGCAUAAGACCACGGCUCCGAAAGGAGCUGCGGACAAAGCAGGCCUCUUCAUGAAAGCUUGCACUCAAGGAUGAGCCCGCGGCCCAUCAGCUAGUUGGUAGGGUAAUGGCCUACCAAGGCAACGACGGGUAGCUGGUCUGAGAGGAUGAUCAGCCACACUGGAACUGAGACACGGUCCAGACUCCUACGGGAGGCAGCAGUGGGGAAUAUUGCGCAAUGGGCGAAAGCCUGACGCAGCAACGCCGCGUGAGUGAUGAAGGCCUUCGGGUCGUAAAGCUCUGUCGGAGGGAACGAAUGCUCUUGAGGUUAACAGCCUCGGGAAGUGACGGUACCCUCAAAGGAAGCACCGGCUAACUCUGUGCCAGCAGCCGCGGUAAU
This 538-nucleotide ribosomal RNA is filed under the name uncultured delta proteobacterium. RNAcentral describes it as "bacterial SSU rRNA". It matches the Rfam family "Bacterial small subunit ribosomal RNA", at positions 8 to 524 of the family's 1533-position model. The record is from RNAcentral. Lineage: Bacteria; Deltaproteobacteria.